Molecule: ribosomal RNA, 254 nt
Filed under: uncultured bacterium
Lineage: Bacteria
Description: partial 16S ribosomal RNA
Rfam family: Bacterial small subunit ribosomal RNA
Source: RNAcentral
CACGUAGGGGGCGAGCGUUGUCCGGAUUUAUUGGGCGUAAAGAGCUCGUAGGCGGUUUCGUAAGUCGGAUGUGAAAACUCCAGGCUCAACUUGGAGACGCCAUUCGAUACUGCGAUGACUUGAGUCCGGUAGGGGAGUGUGGAAUUCCUGGUGUAGCGGUGAAAUGCGCAGAUAUCAGGAGGAACACCUACGGCGAAGGCAGCUCGCUGGGACGGUACUGACGCUGAGACGCGAAAGCGUGGGGAGCAAACAGG